This is a long non-coding RNA of Ochotona curzoniae (black-lipped pika), 697 nucleotides long. RefSeq lists it as uncharacterized. NCBI's taxonomy places the organism in Eukaryota, Metazoa, Chordata, Mammalia, Lagomorpha, Ochotonidae. The record is from RefSeq and is a predicted model, not a curated record. The transcript is spliced from 2 exons.
CUGACUCCCCACCCCUCCGCAAGGCAGGCCCCGCAGUGAUUUUAAAGAUGCCUGGGAGCGGUAGGGAGGGAGGGAUCGGGCUGCAAAAUGUCAUCCCAGCCAAUGUGACAUCACCACCUAAUAUGACUCCCCGGAGCUCCGGGGACGCAGUCGUGCCUACCUACCGGGGAAGGACUUCACUGCGGUUCAGACCUUAAAGUGUCGUUGUCAUCUAGACAUUCCAGCAGUGUGACAUCUGUGGACUGGUCCCAGAGGCCUCCCGAGAACAUAAAGUCCCCACAUUGGGCUGACAUGGGAAACAUCAAGACAUGAAGAGGGACUUGAAUGUGCCUGCCUCAUGAGCCAGAGAGAAGACAGAAAACUUGAGGUCUUGAACACAAGCCACGUUCAAACUGCCAUGCCUUGGCUCAUCAUGACUCUAAGCAAUACUCCUCAUCCCCUACUCUCCCAAGCCAUGUCCCUCUGCACUUUCCCAACAUACCUGAAAUGUGACUUCUUGGAAACCAUCCCUGAUGGACUCAAGUGGACUUCUUAUGUCAUCAUCCUCUGACCCUUCACUGGUGCCUGAUGGAUUUAUGCUUGCUUAUUGAUCUCUAUUUUUAUUGCUCUCAGGUCAUUUCCUCAGUCUCUCCAGUGCACAGGGAGCUGUUUAAACUCUAAUUUUUUUUUCCCUUCUAAUAAAAAUUCAGUGAACUCC